This 180-nucleotide ribosomal RNA is filed under the name Triticum aestivum (bread wheat). RNAcentral's name for it is "partial small subunit ribosomal RNA". The record is from RNAcentral. Lineage: Eukaryota; Viridiplantae; Streptophyta; Magnoliopsida; Poales; Poaceae.
AAAGCCCGCGCCUCCCUUCUUCAUCUUGUAAGCUGGGUGGUUUGGAAUGAGCGAAAUGCACGCGUGUUCAGGAACAAGGCGGCGCCGGUGAUGGUGAUCAUGCGCUCUAUUAAAGAGGAGGCUUCUCUAUGGGCUCUGGCGGGCGCUAAACAUUUAUGUAAUUUGAUGCCGUGAGAGUAG